This 269-nucleotide ribosomal RNA is filed under the name uncultured bacterium. RNAcentral describes it as "partial 16S ribosomal RNA". It matches the Rfam family "Bacterial small subunit ribosomal RNA", at positions 793 to 1055 of the family's 1533-position model. The record is from RNAcentral.
GUCCUAGCCGUAAACGAUGGGCACUAGCUUGGGGUCUCCCUGUGUGAUCCCAGGUGAAGUAAAAAUGAUAAGUGCCCCGCCUGGGGAGUAUGGUCGCAAGGCUGAAACUCAAAAGGAAUUGACGGGGGCUCACACAAGCGGUGGAGCAUGUGGUUUAAUUCGAAGCAACGCGAAGAACCUUACCCAGGCUUGACAUGCAGGGGCUAGGCCGGUGAAAGCUGGCUGAUUACCUUCGGGUGUGACCUGCACAGGUGUUGCAUGGCUGUCGU